Non-coding RNA from Silurus meridionalis, 566 nucleotides. Lineage: Eukaryota; Metazoa; Chordata; Actinopteri; Siluriformes; Siluridae. The record is from the annotation of a RefSeq genome assembly.
UUAAGAGCUGUAGUGCUGAUCAGAGUGUGUUCAGUCCUUUCAGAGCCACUGACACGCAGCACAAUGAUGAUGGUACUGAUUCUACUGCUGGGGACACUGGGACUCCUCGCUCACCAGUCCUUUGGGGAAAUCGUCCUGACUCAGUCUCCAGGAUCUCAGACUGUUUCUCCAGGAGACACUGUUACUCUCAGCUGUACAACCAGUCAGAAUGUUAACAGUGAAUUUGACUGGUACCUGCAGAAACCUGGAGAAGCUCCUAAACUCCUGAUCUAUGCUGCAACUUCUCGUCAGUCUGGGAUUCCAGAUCGUUUCAGUGGCAGUGGAUCUGGUACACAGUUUAGUCUAAAAAUCUCUGGAGUCCAGUCUGAAGAUGCAGGAGAUUAUUACUGUCAGCAGGGUUACAGCUAUCCGUACACACAGUGUUAUAGCACCGUACAAAAACCUCCCUCAGCUGUAGAGAAAGUGCUCUGAGUCAGAAACACACACUGAUCCGCUCCAAACCAGCAGUCACAUAUUGCAAGGUUUGAACUAUAUUGAAACAGAGUGAAAUAAGUCUGUGAUUAUUU